CGGAACGGGUGAGUAACGCGUGAGGAACCUGCCUCAAAGAGGGGGACAACAGUUGGAAACGACUGCUAAUACCGCAUAAGCCCACGGCUCGGCAUCGAGCAGAGGGAAAAGGAGCAAUCCGCUUUGAGAUGGCCUCGCGUCCGAUUAGCUAGUUGGUGAGGUAACGGCCCACCAAGGCGACGAUCGGUAGCCGGACUGAGAGGUUGAACGGCCACAUGGGACUGAGACACGGCCCAG
This 237-nucleotide ribosomal RNA is filed under the name uncultured bacterium. Its description in RNAcentral is "partial 16S ribosomal RNA". It matches the Rfam family "Bacterial small subunit ribosomal RNA", at positions 100 to 334 of the family's 1533-position model. The record is from RNAcentral.